UGAUAGGUAUGAAAAGUGGCGUUGAAGCUGGAUAAGUUUAUAAAGAGUUUGAAUGAAGAAAUGAAAAGUAAAUAAGUUGAUGAUGAAUUGCAAAAAUAG
This is a non-coding RNA of Streptococcus pneumoniae 2070335, 99 nucleotides long. The record is from Rfam. NCBI's taxonomy places the organism in Bacteria, Bacillati, Bacillota, Bacilli, Lactobacillales, Streptococcaceae.